GAUGAAGAACGUAGCGAAAUGCGAUAAGUAAUGUGAAUUGCAGAAUUCAGUGAAUCAUCGAAUCUUUGAACGCACCUUGCGCCCUUUGGACAUUCCGAAGGGCAUGCCUGUUUGAGUAUCAUGAACACCUCAACUCUCACGGCUUGUCCGUGAUGAGCUUGGACUUUGGGGGUCUUGCCGGCCUGUGGUCGGCUCCUCUCAAAUGGAUCAGCUUGCCAGUGUUUGGUGGCAUCACAGGUGUGAUAACUAUCUGCGCUUGUGGUUUUCCAUCAGAUAACCUUCAGUGAUAUGGAGGUUCGCUGGAGCUCACAAAUGUCUCUCCUUAGUGAGGACAGCUCUUUGAACGUUUGAUCUCAAAUCAGGUAGGACUACCCGCUGGACUUAAGCAUAUCAAUAAGCGGAGGA
Molecule: unclassified non-coding RNA, 405 nt
Filed under: soil metagenome
Description: partial contains 5.8S ribosomal RNA, internal transcribed spacer 2, and large subunit ribosomal RNA
Rfam family: 5.8S ribosomal RNA (bases 1-121)
Source: RNAcentral